RNAcentral lists this unclassified non-coding RNA (724 nucleotides) under Hevea brasiliensis (rubber tree). The record is from RNAcentral. Lineage: Eukaryota; Viridiplantae; Streptophyta; Magnoliopsida; Malpighiales; Euphorbiaceae.
UUUAUAACAUUCUGUCUCAUGGAAUGGAGCCCAAUGCUGUAACUUACAAUACACUUCUGCAUUCUCUUUGUAGUUCUGGGUUAUGGGAUGAAGUGGAUGAGAUCCUUGCAAUUAUGAAAGAAACUUACCAUCCUCCUACUGUAGUUACUUACAACACACUGAUUAAUGGCUUGUGUAAGUUUGGACUUGUGGAUCGCGCCAUUGACUUCUUUCUUCAAAUGGUUUAUGAAGAUUGUUUGCCUGACAUUGUUACUUAUAAUACUCUCCUUGGUGCACUAUGUAAAGAAGGACUGGUGGAUGAUGCCCUUCAAUUACUUAGCCUUCUAAGCUUUAGCAGCUGUUCUCCUGGGUUGAUAACUUAUAAUACUGUGAUUGAUGGAAUUACCAGAAGGGGAAGUAUGGACAAAGCAAUGACGUUAUACAAUCAAAUGAUAGAAAAUGGGAUCAUUCCUGAUGGUAUUACCCAUCGUUCAUUGGUUUGGGGGUUUUGCUCAGCAAAUCAAGUUGAAGAUGCUGUGGAGAUACUGAGAGAGAUGGGAAAGAGAGAGCACAGGAUCAAUAGUAGUGCUUACAAAAUGGUGAUUGAUGGAUUAUGUAAAAAGAAGAAGGUGGAUAUUGCAAUACAAGUUCUUGAAAUUAUGAUCUUAAAUCGAUGCAAGCCAGAUGAGGAAAUUUAUUCUACUCUAAUUAAAGGUCUGGCAGAUGCUGGUAUGAUCGAAGAGGC